UGUCAAGGGAUGGGAAUCGAACCCACGACCUUCCGCUUACCGGGCAGAUGCCAUGAGCAUUAGGCUACCCUGGAC
Molecule: transfer RNA, 75 nt
Filed under: Cordylochernes scorpioides
Lineage: Eukaryota; Metazoa; Arthropoda; Arachnida; Pseudoscorpiones; Chernetidae
Description: tRNA-Thr
Source: RNAcentral